Molecule: unclassified non-coding RNA, 168 nt
Filed under: uncultured Xylariales
Lineage: Eukaryota; Fungi; Ascomycota; Sordariomycetes; Xylariales
Description: sequence contains ITS1
Source: RNAcentral
CUGAGUUAUCAAACUCCAAACCCAUGUGAACAUACUCUUGUUGCCUCGGCGGCGAGCCUACCCGGGACCUACCCGGUACCUACCCUGUAGCGCUGGCAGACCGCCGAAGGACCAACUUAAACUCUUGUUUCUAUGUGGCACAUCUGAGUUACAUAUAUAAAUAAGUCA